This 207-nucleotide ribosomal RNA is filed under the name uncultured bacterium. RNAcentral describes it as "partial 16S ribosomal RNA". It matches the Rfam family "Bacterial small subunit ribosomal RNA", at positions 568 to 774 of the family's 1533-position model. The record is from RNAcentral.
CGCGUAGGCGGCUUCGGAAGUCAUGGGUGAAAGCCCCAGGCUCAACCUGGGAAUUGCCUGUGAAACCACGGAGCUGGAGGGCAGGAGAGGAGAGUGGAAUUGCUGGUGUAGCGGUGAAAUGUGUAGAUAUCAGCAAGAACACCCGUGGCGAAAGCGGCUCUCUGGACUGCUCCUGACGCUGAGACGCGAAAGCCAGGGGAGCGAACG